This 513-nucleotide ribosomal RNA is filed under the name uncultured bacterium. Its description in RNAcentral is "partial 16S ribosomal RNA". It matches the Rfam family "Bacterial small subunit ribosomal RNA", at positions 28 to 523 of the family's 1533-position model. The record is from RNAcentral.
GAUGAACGCUGGCGGCGUGCCUAAUACAUGCAAGUCGAGCGCGCGCGUAAGGAGCUUGCUCCUUACAAUCGAGCGGCGGACGGGUGAGUAACACGUGGGCAACCUACCCUUUAGACUGGGAUAACUACCGGAAACGGUAGCUAAUACCGGCUAAGUUGGAUUACACAAGUAAUCUUCAUGAAAGGAGGAUUUAUCUGUCACGAAAGGAUGGGCCUGCGGUGCAUUAGCUAGUUGGUGAGGUAGUGGCUCACGAAGGCAACGAUGCAUAGCCGACCUGAGAGGGUGAUCGGCCACACUGGGACUGAGACACGGCCCAGACUCCUACGGGAGGCAGCAGUAGGGAAUCUUCCGCAAUGGACGCAAGUCUGACGGAGCAACGCCGCGUGAGUGAAGAAGGGUUUCGGCUCGUAAAACUCUGUUGUUAAGGAAGAACACUUUAGGUAGUAACUGGCCUAGAGAUGACGGUACUUAACCAGAAAGCCACGGCUAACUACGUGCCAGCCGCCGCCGUAA